Molecule: long non-coding RNA, 793 nt
Organism: Bradysia coprophila
Lineage: Eukaryota; Metazoa; Arthropoda; Insecta; Diptera; Sciaridae
Source: RefSeq, a predicted model, not a curated record
ACAGCUUUUCUGUCAGCACUGCCAACACUACAGCGCAGCGUCCACAACUUCGUCUUUUUGAACAAACUGUCAGAUACAGUUGUCGUCAUUUUAAUAAUAAACACUCGGUCGCAGAACAGAACUGAAAAUUUUGCGUUCUAUUUUAAUUAUUGAAUCUAGUCAUUUAAACGAAGACUGUGAUAUAUUCAAGAGUUUUCCAAGGACCAAAAUAAAGAAUCAAUAUGCCUGACACCAACGAAACGAGUAAAACUUCUUCCAAUUCAACUAUUCUGAAAACUGUGGCAGGUGUAGCCAUUGGUGCCGCUGUUGCUCUUGGCGCAUAUUUUAUCGGACGCGAAGAGGGUCAAGAGGAAGCGAAACAAAGUUACCAACAUCGAGUUCAGUACGCGCAAAACAUGAAUCCCAAACCAAACAAAGAGGAUGACGACGAUGAGAAAAUUUCGAAAGACUGUGAUAUCUGUAAGGUCAGCUUUAAGCAGCUUAUGAACAGAGAUGUAGAGCUCCAUUCAACACCAUGUGGACACAUUUUCUGCAAAAAUUGUAUCGAUGCUAGCCUCGGCAUUUAUGCUAGAUGUCCGGUCUGUAACGAAGAACUUUUGCCCGGUCAAACUCACCGAGUUUAUCUUUAGAAGCCGAAUUUUGCUAAAUUAUCUAAAUAUAAAGUUAACAAAACGUAACAUUCGUUACUUUCAUUGUUAUUAUAGCUCGUUUAUGAAAGAAAUGAGUUGGAUACUUUAGGUUGGAAAUUUAAAAAAUUUUUCGGUUAUUUAUGAAUAAACAAAUUAGUUGAAUU